RNAcentral lists this ribosomal RNA (526 nucleotides) under Pseudoxanthomonas sp. E117. RNAcentral describes it as "bacterial SSU rRNA". It matches the Rfam family "Bacterial small subunit ribosomal RNA", at positions 38 to 551 of the family's 1533-position model. The record is from RNAcentral. Lineage: Bacteria; Pseudomonadati; Pseudomonadota; Gammaproteobacteria; Lysobacterales; Lysobacteraceae.
GGCGGUAGGCCUAACACAUGCAAGUCGAACGGCAGCACAGUAAGAGCUUGCUCUUACGGGUGGCGAGUGGCGGACGGGUGAGGAAUACAUCGGAAUCUACCUUUUGGUGGGGGAUAACGUAGGGAAACUUACGCUAAUACCGCAUACGCCCUUCGGGGGAAAGCCGGGGACCUUCGGGCCUGGCGCUGAUAGAUGAGCCGAUGUCGGAUUAGCUUGUUGGUGAGGUAAUGGCUCACCAAGGCGACGAUCCGUAGCUGGUCUGAGAGGAUGAUCAGCCACACUGGAACUGAGACACGGUCCAGACUCCUACGGGAGGCAGCAGUGGGGAAUAUUGGACAAUGGGCGCAAGCCUGAUCCAGCCAUACCGCGUGGGUGAAGAAGGCCUUCGGGUUGUAAAGCCCUUUUGUUGGGAAAGAAAAGCAUUCGGUUAAUACCCGGGUGUUCUGACGGUACCCAAAGAAUAAGCACCGGCUAACUUCGUGCCAGCAGCCGCGGUAAUACGAAGGGUGCAAGCGUUACUCGGAAU